GAGUGCUGAUCGGCGAGAACCCGGAGCUGGGUAAGGGGCUGCUGGCGGCGGCGCAGUCUCUGUAAGCGGUAUGAGUUUGGCUGGGGGCCGAGCCCCACGGAAAACCGCUGGAAACCGGCUUUCUGGGCUCCUGGAAGCAGAGGAGGAAGAUGAGUUCUACCAGACGACUUACGGGGGCUUCACUGAGGCAAGAGCCGGGCCCAAGAAGAGGGAGGCGAGGAAGCGGAGUCUUGUAGGGAAAAACCCUAGACAAAGAGGAAGGGGGCGGGGAUUGAGAAAGGCUCGGAAAGAUGUGCUCCUAGCUGGCGGUGGACGCUGUGCGUGUGCGUGUGUGUGAGGACCCGGUCCAGAAACAGAUUUAAUUAGCAUACUCUCUUUUUCAGCUUUCAAAUCACAGCAUACUGUUUUCUUAGAUGACCCUUUAUUGACUGUCCUAAGAGAAUCCCCAUUUAAUUUCCAUCAUAGAAACAAAAUUUCAGCUUGCAGUUAGAUUCGGUUUACUUCUCAUUUUCUGAUUGGUUUUAAGGUCUGUAACAGAGUUCGAUUUUUUAGUACAGGGCUGACACUUAGCUAUAUUUUUAUUAAUAGAAGCUGUUCAUUGAUUGAAUAUAUAUUGCAUACCCAGAUCAGCAUACCAUAUAUAAUUAAUAGCUUGUGGUGGACUCCUUGGGAACAUUAAAAACUUCCUGAGGCUGGGACUAUAUUGUAGUUCAGCGGUCGAUCACUUGCCCUAGAUCCUGGAUUACUGGCCCCUAGCAAUAAAUAAAAGCAAGCUCUAUCCUGCAGGGCAGCUG
RNAcentral lists this long non-coding RNA (794 nucleotides) under Rattus norvegicus (Norway rat). RNAcentral's name for it is "long non-coding RNA NONRATT015547". Lineage: Eukaryota; Metazoa; Chordata; Mammalia; Rodentia; Muridae. The record is from RNAcentral.